AAUUAUGUUGUCUGUAUAUAGUAAGAUAGUGAGGUAGAGGCCUGCUCUCAACUGAUGAAUCACAGGAGCAUGACUGCAAAGAAACCAUUGAAACAAAGUCAGAUACACAGAAAUCACCAAAACCUCAGACAUAGAGAGUCAAUUGUUCUAAACUGAAACAGCAUAUCAUUAUGGACAAUGCACACCAGUGAACUCUGCGCGCCAUUCUGACCUGAUACUACACUCUGACACAUAAACAAAGUCAAGUUUUGCGGGCCAAAUCCAGCCUGCGAUGCAGUUAUUUUAUGUGGCCUGCAAAAUCUGACCAGACUUGUCAAUUGAAAACUAAGCGUUCCCCGCCAAUGACGAGAAAACUCAUACAUUGUUUUUUUGAUGGGGAGAGGCUAAGAAAGGCUAGGUGCAACGCCACUGUGACUUUGAAGCUUGGAAUGAAUUUCUCUGCCAUGAAAAUCCCCAGCAGCAUCUUGGAUGAGAGGUCAGUCAAUACCUAAAAAAAAGGAAGUGAGGCGGAGACUUGCUGAAGCAGUGCUGAAGAUGAGAGAAACGUGGAUAAAACAGAAAAAUGAAGAAAUACAGACAGCUAACGAUGGAGCAGAAUAUCUUCAGGGACAAAACAAAUAAAAAGAGGUCAUCAUGUUUGAUGGAUGACGAUGGCGAUCACAGAAGGAAAAAAAUGAUAACGCUGUAAGGUAGCAGAUGCUCAUGUCCUGAUGCUUUGGACAGAAACAAAAGAGAAUUUACAGAUGAUGCACCCAGCAGUAAGGUGACAAAGGUCCCUCCUCCGGUUGGCAGAACAAACAAGGAAGGCUGUGUAUCCUGCCAGAGGUAGGGAUAAAUCUGACUGGCAUGAGGCUGACUGCCGGCCAAAUAAGAUCCCCUUCACUGCAACCCCUUGGACACCUAAACUCUACCGCAGACUUGGAUUCUGAUGAGCCUGCUGAC
Long non-coding RNA from Phyllopteryx taeniolatus (common seadragon), 942 nucleotides. RefSeq lists it as uncharacterized. NCBI's taxonomy places the organism in Eukaryota, Metazoa, Chordata, Actinopteri, Syngnathiformes, Syngnathidae. The transcript has 3 exons. The record is from RefSeq and is a predicted model, not a curated record.